CACCGCGGUUACACGAAUAGGCCCAAGUUGAUAGACAUCGGCGUAAAGGGUGGUUAAUAAAUAAGAAGUCAUACUAAAGCCGAACACCCUCAAAGCUGUUGUACGCAUCCGAGGGAAGGAAGUCCGCUCACGAAAGUGGCUUUAAACAACUAUGACCCCACGAAAGCUAGGGCA
Molecule: ribosomal RNA, 174 nt
Filed under: Gobiodon rivulatus (rippled coralgoby)
Lineage: Eukaryota; Metazoa; Chordata; Actinopteri; Gobiiformes; Gobiidae
Description: partial 12S rRNA
Source: RNAcentral